Molecule: unclassified non-coding RNA, 337 nt
Filed under: soil metagenome
Description: partial contains 5.8S ribosomal RNA, internal transcribed spacer 2, and large subunit ribosomal RNA
Rfam family: 5.8S ribosomal RNA (bases 1-120)
Source: RNAcentral
GAUGAAGAACGUAGCGAAAUGCGAUAAGUAGUGUGAAUUGCAGAAUUCAGUGAAUCAUCGAAUCUUUGAACGCACAUUGCGCCCGGUAGUAUUCUGCCGGGCAUGCCUGUUCGAGCGUCAUUUCAACCAUCAAGCCCCAGCGCUUGUGUUGGGGGCCUGCGGCUGCCGCAGCCCCCUAAAAGCAGUGGCGGGCUCGCUAUCACACCGAGUGCAGUAGUUCAUCUUCUCUCCGGUCUUGUGAGGCGGGUUCCGGCCGUGAAACACCCCACUACAUUCAAGGUUGACCUCGGAUCAGGUAGGAAUACCCGCUGAACUUAAGCAUAUCAAAAGCGGAGGA